Molecule: ribosomal RNA, 439 nt
Filed under: uncultured bacterium
Lineage: Bacteria
Description: partial 16S ribosomal RNA
Rfam family: Bacterial small subunit ribosomal RNA
Source: RNAcentral
CCUACGGGUGGCAGCAGUGGGGAAUAUUUCACAAUGGGCGAAAGCCUGAUGCAGCAACGCCGCGUGAGCGAUGAAGGCCUUCGGGUUGUAAAGCUCUGUCCUCAAGGAAGAUAAUGACGGUACUAGAGGCGGAAGCCCCGGCUAACUACGUCCCAGCAGCCGCGGAAAUACGUAGGGGGCUAGCUUUAUCCGGAAUUACUGGGCGUAAAGGGUGGGUAGGUGGUUUCUUAAGUCAGAGGUGAAAGGCUGCGGCUCAACCGUAGUAAGCCGUUGAAACUGGGAAACUUGAGUGGAGGAGAGGAGAGUGGAAUUCCUAGUGUAGCGGUGAAAUGCGUAGAUAUUAGGAGGAACACCAGUUGCGAAGGCGGCUCUCUGGACUGUAACUGACACUGAGGCACGAAAGCGUGGGGAGCAAACAGGAUUAGAUACCCUAGUAGUC